AAAUUGAAGAGUUUGAUCAUGGCUCAGAUUGAACGCUGGCGGCAGGCCUAACACAUGCAAGUCGAGCGGUAGCACAGAGAGCUUGCUCUCGGGUGACGAGCGGCGGACGGGUGAGUAAUGUCUGGGAAACUGCCUGAUGGAGGGGGAUAACUACUGGAAACGGUAGCUAAUACCGCAUAACGUCGCAAGACCAAAGUGGGGGACCUUCGGGCCUCAUGCCAUCAGAUGUGCCCAGAUGGGAUUAGCUAGUAGGUGGGGUAACGGCUCACCUAGGCGACGAUCCCUAGCUGGUCUGAGAGGAUGACCAGCCACACUGGAACUGAGACACGGUCCAGACUCCUACGGGAGGCAGCAGUGGGGAAUAUUGCACAAUGGGCGCAAGCCUGAUGCAGCCAUGCCGCGUGUGUGAAGAAGGCCUUCGGGUUGUAAAGCACUUUCAGCGGGGAGGAAGGCGUUAAGGUUAAUAACCUUGGCGAUUGACGUUACCCGCAGAAGAAGCACCGGCUAACUC
RNAcentral lists this ribosomal RNA (511 nucleotides) under Klebsiella pneumoniae. RNAcentral describes it as "bacterial SSU rRNA". It matches the Rfam family "Bacterial small subunit ribosomal RNA", at positions 1 to 503 of the family's 1533-position model. Lineage: Bacteria; Pseudomonadati; Pseudomonadota; Gammaproteobacteria; Enterobacterales; Enterobacteriaceae. The record is from RNAcentral.